RNAcentral lists this ribosomal RNA (253 nucleotides) under uncultured bacterium. Its description in RNAcentral is "partial 16S ribosomal RNA". It matches the Rfam family "Bacterial small subunit ribosomal RNA", at positions 524 to 776 of the family's 1533-position model. The record is from RNAcentral.
UACAGAGGGAGCAAGCGUUGUUCGGAAUUACUGGGCGUAAAGGGCGCGCAGGCGGACUUGUAAGUCAGGCGUGAAAACUAUCGGCUCAACUGAUAGAUUGCGUUUGAGACUGCAGGUCUUGAGUACGGGAGAGGAAGGUGGAACUCUGCGUGUAGCGGUGAAAUGCGUAGAUAUGCAGAGGAACACCAGUGGCGAAGGCGGCCUUCUAGCCCGAUACUGACGCUGAGGCGCGAAAGCGUGGGGAGCAAACAGG